GGGGUGAGAACAAAAUUAUAUUUAAAAACAUAACCAAAUCUUGUCUACAAGACUCAGAAAGUGAGUGACUUAAGAUUCAGUGAGAUCUUUAACUUAACUGAUUGCACACAGAGCACCAAAAUACAUCUACUGUACCUGCGCUUGUCCUACUAAAAUGCUUAAGCUUCACUACUGAGGUUAACUACCAGCCAGAGAAGGAGGGCCCUUUGAGAGACAACAAAUCCGUAGCAUGUCAGGAUUCCACGGAUCUAUUUCACAGGGUGGCACAAUGACAUAAAGCAACACCUUCUUAAUAAAUGAAGGCACGGCCUAUUUCACUAUUUCUUCAAGUUAAGUUUUCAUACCUCCACUCCCAACUGUUCACAUCAGACCCAACACCCCUGAACACAAAUGUUCCUCCUAAAUAAAAGGAAGGAGCUGGACGUUGGAUGGGGCUCUGGAGUCCUUCCAGUUUGUGGUUCUCUAUUUAACUAGUUGUGAAAUCACAAUACAGCUCUCCCAACUCAGGGAAAGCUACAUUUUACUGCCAAAAAAUAACAGAUCUGAUGCA
RNAcentral lists this long non-coding RNA (550 nucleotides) under Bos taurus (domestic cattle). Its description in RNAcentral is "long non-coding RNA NONBTAT018100". Lineage: Eukaryota; Metazoa; Chordata; Mammalia; Artiodactyla; Bovidae. The record is from RNAcentral.